Molecule: ribosomal RNA, 1337 nt
Filed under: uncultured bacterium
Lineage: Bacteria
Description: bacterial SSU rRNA
Rfam family: Bacterial small subunit ribosomal RNA
Source: RNAcentral
GACGAACGCUGGCGGCGUGCUUAACACAUGCAAGUCGAACGGAAAGGCCCUUCGGGGUACUCGAGUGGCGAACGGGUGAGUAACACGUGGGUGAUCUGCCCUGCACUUUGGGAUAAGCCUGGGAAACUGGGUCUAAUACCGAAUAGGACCACGCGCUUCAUGGUGUGUGGUGGAAAGCUUUUGCGGUGUGGGAUGGGCCCGCGGCCUAUCAGCUUGUUGGUGGGGUAAUGGCCUACCAAGGCGACGACGGGUAGCCGGCCUGAGAGGGUGACCGGCCACACUGGGACUGAGAUACGGCCCAGACUCCUACGGGAGGCAGCAGUGGGGAAUAUUGCACAAUGGGCGCAAGCCUGAUGCAGCGACGCCGCGUGAGGGAUGACGGCCUUCGGGUUGUAAACCUCUUUCAAUAGGGACGAAGCGCAAGUGACGGUACCUAUAGAAGAAGCACCGGCCAACUACGUGCCAGCAGCCGCGGUAAUACGUAGGGUGCGAGCGUUGUCCGGAAUUACUGGGCGUAAAGAGCUCGUAGGUGGUUUGUCGCGUUGUUCGUGAAAACUCACAGCUUAACUGUGGGCGUGCGGGCGAUACGGGCAGACUAGAGUACUGCAGGGGAGACUGGAAUUCCUGGUGUAGCGGUGGAAUGCGCAGAUAUCAGGAGGAACACCGGUGGCGAAGGCGGGUCUCUGGGCAGUAACUGACGCUGAGGAGCGAAAGCGUGGGGAGCGAACAGGAUUAGAUACCCUGGUAGUCCACGCCGUAAACGGUGGGUACUAGGUGUGGGUUCCUUCCUUGGGAUCCGUGCCGUAGCUAACGCAUUAAGUACCCCGCCUGGGGAGUACGGCCGCAAGGCUAAAACUCAAAGGAAUUGACGGGGGCCCGCACAAGCGGCGGGGCAUGUGGAUUAAUUCGAUGCAACGCGAAGAACCUUACCUGGGUUUGACAUGCACAGGACGCCGGCAGAGAUGUCGGUUCCCUUGUGGCCUGUGUGCAGGUGGUGCAUGGCUGUCGUCAGCUCGUGUCGUGAGAUGUUGGGUUAAGUCCCGCAACGAGCGCAACCCUUGUCCUAUGUUGCCAGCGGGUUAUGCCGGGGACUCGUAGGAGACUGCCGGGGUCAACUCGGAGGAAGGUGGGGAUGACGUCAAGUCAUCAUGCCCCUUAUGUCCAGGGCUUCACACAUGCUACAAUGGCCGGUACAAAGGGCUGCGAUGCCGUGAGGUGGAGCGAAUCCUUUCAAAGCCGGUCUCAGUUCGGAUCGGGGUCUGCAACUCGACCCCGUGAAGUCGGAGUCGCUAGUAAUCGCAGAUCAGCAACGCUGCGGUGAAUACGUUCCCGGGCCU